This 77-nucleotide transfer RNA is filed under the name Desulfovibrio sp. RNAcentral describes it as "tRNA-Arg". It matches the Rfam family "tRNA". From Rfam's summary of the family: Transfer RNA (tRNA) molecules are approximately 80 nucleotides in length. Their secondary structure includes four short double-helical elements and three loops (D, anti-codon, and T loops). Lineage: Bacteria; Pseudomonadati; Thermodesulfobacteriota; Desulfovibrionia; Desulfovibrionales; Desulfovibrionaceae. The record is from RNAcentral.
GCGCCCGUAGCUCAACCGGAUAGAGCGUUGGCCUCCGGAGCCAAAGGCCGCGUGUUCGAAUCACGCCGGGCGCGCCA